UAGACCUACGGGACGCAGCAGUGAGGAAUAUUGGUCAAUGGGCGGGAGCCUGAACCAGCCAAGUCGCGUGAGGGAAGACGGUCCUAUGGAUUGUAAACCUCUUUUGUCGGGGGGCAAAGAGGCCACGUGUGGUCAAAAGCGAGAGUACCCGAAGAAAAAGCAUCGGCUAACUCCGUGCCAGCAGCCGCAGUAAUACGGAGGAUGCGAGCGUUAUCCGGAUUUACUGGGUUUAAAGGGUGCGUAGGCGGGACGGUAAGUCAGCGGUAAAAAUGCGGAGCUCAACUCCGUCGAGCCGUUGAAACUGC
RNAcentral lists this ribosomal RNA (305 nucleotides) under uncultured bacterium. RNAcentral describes it as "bacterial SSU rRNA". It matches the Rfam family "Bacterial small subunit ribosomal RNA", at positions 334 to 636 of the family's 1533-position model. The record is from RNAcentral.